RNAcentral lists this ribosomal RNA (467 nucleotides) under uncultured bacterium. Its description in RNAcentral is "partial 16S ribosomal RNA". It matches the Rfam family "Bacterial small subunit ribosomal RNA", at positions 28 to 507 of the family's 1533-position model. The record is from RNAcentral.
GACGAACGCUGGCGGCGUGCUUAACACAUGCAAGUCGAACGGAAAGGCCUCUUUCGGGGGGUACUCGAGUGGCGAACGGGUGAGUAACACGUGAGUAACCUGCCCUUGACUUUGGGAUAACUUCAGGAAACUGGGGCUAAUACCGGAUAGGAGCUCCUGCUGCAUGGUGGGGGUUGGAAAGUUUCGGCGGUUGGGGAUGGACUCGCGGCUUAUCAGCUUGUUGGUGGGGUAGUGGCUUACCAAGGCUUUGACGGGUAGCCGGCCUGAGAGGGUGACCAGCCACAUUGGGACUGAGAUACGGCCCAGACUCCUACGGGAGGCAGCAGUGGGGAAUAUUGCACAAUGGGUGGAAGCCUGAUGCAGCAACGCCGUGUGCGGGAUGACGGCCUUCGGGUUGUAAACCGCUUUCGCUCAUGACGAAGCUUUGUGUGACGGUAGUGGGUAAAGAAGCACCGGCUAACUACGUG